Molecule: ribosomal RNA, 253 nt
Filed under: uncultured bacterium
Lineage: Bacteria
Description: partial 16S ribosomal RNA
Rfam family: Bacterial small subunit ribosomal RNA
Source: RNAcentral
UACGAAGGGUGCAAGCGUUAAUCGGAAUUACUGGGCGUAAAGCGUGCGUAGGUGGUCUGCUAAGUCUGAUGUGAAAGCCCUGGGCUCAACCUGGGAAUUGCAUUGGAUACUGGCAGGCUAGAGUGCGGUAGAGGAUGGCGGAAUUCCCGGUGUAGCAGUGAAAUGCGUAGAGAUCGGGAGGAACAUCUGUGGCGAAGGCGGCCAUCUGGACCAGCACUGACACUGAGGCACGAAAGCGUGGGGAGCAAACAGG